RNAcentral lists this ribosomal RNA (505 nucleotides) under uncultured bacterium. RNAcentral's name for it is "partial 16S ribosomal RNA". It matches the Rfam family "Bacterial small subunit ribosomal RNA", at positions 28 to 507 of the family's 1533-position model. The record is from RNAcentral.
GACGAACGCUGGCGGCGUGCCUAAUACAUGCAAGUGGGACGCAAGGAAACACACUGUGCUUGCACACCGUGUUUUCUUGAGUCGCGAACGGGUGAGUAACGCGUAGGUAACCUGCCUAUUAGCGGGGGAUAACUAUUGGAAACGAUAGCUAAUACCGCAUAAUAUUAAUUAUUGCAUGAUAAUUGAUUGAAAGAUGCAAGCGCAUCACUAGUAGAUGGACCUGCGUUGUAUUAGCUAGUUGGUAAGGUAAGAGCUUACCAAGGCGACGAUACAUAGCCGACCUGAGAGGGUGAUCGGCCACACUGGGACUGAGACACGGCCCAGACUCCUACGGGAGGCAGCAGUAGGGAAUCUUCGGCAAUAGACGAAAGUCUGACCGAGCAACGCCGCGUGAGUGAAGAAGGUUUUCGGAUCGUAAAGCUCUGUUGUAAGUCAAGAACGUGUGUGAGAGUGGAAAGUUCACACAGUGACGGUAGCUUACCAGAAAGGGACGGCUAACUACGUG